RNAcentral lists this ribosomal RNA (468 nucleotides) under uncultured bacterium. Its description in RNAcentral is "partial 16S ribosomal RNA". It matches the Rfam family "Bacterial small subunit ribosomal RNA", at positions 28 to 507 of the family's 1533-position model. The record is from RNAcentral.
GACGAACGCUGGCGGCGUGCUUAACACAUGCAAGUCGAACGGAAAGGCCCUGCUUUUGUGGGGUGCUCGAGUGGCGAACGGGUGAGUAACACGUGAGUAACCUGCCCUUGACUUUGGGAUAACUUCAGGAAACUGGGGCUAAUACCGGAUAGGAGCUCCCGCUGCAUGGUGGGGGUUGGAAAGUUUCGGCGGUUGGGGAUGGACUCGCGGCUUAUCAGCUUGUUGGUGGGGUAGUGGCUUACCAAGGCUUUGACGGGUAGCCGGCCUGAGAGGGUGACCGGCCACAUUGAGACUGAGAUACGGCCCAGACUCCUACGGGAGGCAGCAGUGGGGAAUAUUGCACAAUGGGCGGAAGCCUGAUGCAGCAACGCCGCGUGCGGGAUGACGGCCUUCGGGUUGUAAACCGCUUUCGCCUGUGACGAAGCGUGAGUGACGGUAAUGGGUAAAGAAGCACCGGCUAACUACGUG